UUUUCUUUCAGUUCCUGAAUCAAGAUAGGGAGAGAGAUAGAGACCGGGAGAUGGAGAAGAGAAACACGGAGUGUUAGAUCGAGAGAUUUAUGGAACGCUAGAGUAAUUGCGACUGUGUGUUUUCGCGAUUGUCGUUCAAGGAUGAAGAAAUCGACGAACAUGAUGCAGAAGAAAUUGAAGCUCUAGUUCUGCCACAGAGAAGAAAAAUGUUUUAUCGAAUGCGAAAUGAUUGGAGAAGCAUAUGUAUGGGCUUGGAAAGUAGGUUCCUACUGGGAAAGUUAUCUGGGAAGAUCAAUCUUUUGGAGGCUAGAAUCAAUCAGAAGUACUUGAUAAGAAUUAGCGGUUCGAUUAACGCGACUUAAGCAGCGGCGCAGUUGUUUUUUUUGAAGAUUUUGAGUAGUAAUCAAGACUAAUGUUAGAAGCUUAUAACAAAAAAAAAAACACCAAUGUUAUGCUUAUUUGAAAGAUUCCUACAUCCAAGAAUUCGCAGUUUCAGCAUAAGUAGUCCAAGAAAAAAAAAAUCAAUAUGCCACUUUGUCGUAUGAUAAAACAUCAGGCCCUUCCUGUGGUGCUUUUUAUGUAUUAUUGGCUUUGUUUUUGUACUGUGAUGCGAGGUUAGUGAGAAAUGAUGCUGGAUACUUGAUUGGAGAAGUACAACUGUUUUUGUACUGUGAUGGGAGAUGCUUAGUGCGAUGAUUGUUUUGCAUUUUGUUUAAUUAUCAUGGCUUUAUCAUUUUCGUACGGAUUUUGCCCAUAACUCAAAACAAAUGUUUGUCUUUUCGAAAUAUGAAUGGAUGUGCCACUCUAUUUUACA
Long non-coding RNA from Papaver somniferum (opium poppy), 814 nucleotides. RefSeq lists it as uncharacterized. NCBI's taxonomy places the organism in Eukaryota, Viridiplantae, Streptophyta, Magnoliopsida, Ranunculales, Papaveraceae. The record is from RefSeq and is a predicted model, not a curated record. The transcript has 4 exons.